GCCAGCUAUAUCACCACGACCACGGGACUCCUGUCGCAGGUUCCAGUAUUCCACCACGCGGCGUCGCCUGCCGAACCCCGAACCUUCUCGAGGUCGAGGCCCCUCCCCUUUCGCCAGGAGGUGCGCACGGCACGACUAAUCUCCACACUCCCCACUAGCUUUUCUUCCCAGUUUGCUCCGAUUUUGAUUCCAUGAAAACAAUGAGCAGGCGCAACAGCCGUACCAUCUAUGUAGGCAAUCUCCCUGGGGACAUCCGUGAGAGGGAGGUUGAGGAUCUCUUCUACAAGUAUGGCCGUAUUUUGGAUAUUGACUUGAAAAUACCUCCGAGACCUCCUGGAUACGCAUUCGUUGAGUUUGAGGAUCCACGUGAUGCUGAUGAUGCAAUUUAUGGCCGUGAUGGGUAUAACUUUGAUGGCUACAGGUUGAGGGUUGAAUUAGCUCAUGGUGGCAGAGGCCAGUCUUAUUCUUAUGAUCGUUCAAGCAGCUAUAGCAGUGCAUGCCGUGGAGGUGUUUCUAGGCGCUCUGAUUUCCGUGUUAUGGUCACUGGUUUACCCUCAUCGGCAUCGUGGCAAGAUCUGAAGGACCACAUGCGGCGCGCUGGUGAUGUCUGUUUCUCUGAUGUAUACCGUGAGGCUGGAGAAACUAUUGGAAUUGUGGAUUAUACAAAUUAUGACGAUAUGAAAUACGCGAUUAGGAAGCUUGAUGACUCACAGUUCAGGAAUGCAUUUUCAAGAGCAUAUAUCAGGGUGAGGGAGUAUGAUGCUAGAUCACGAAGCAGAAGCCGUAGCCACUCGUACUCUAGAAGCCCCAGCUACAGCAGGAGCAGGAGUCCAAAAUCUGUUUCUCAGUCACCCUCAUCUGUGGAUGAAAGGUAUGUGAAUCUAUGUCAUUUAGAAAUGUACAUUUGUGAAACUGAGAGUGCUAAUAUUGUUCGAAGGAACCCGAUUGUCAAAUAAAUGGUGAAAGCAAUCAGAUCUUGUUGUGAAUCAUCAUUGAUGUAUUCUGCACUACACCUAUGGCGCUAAAAAUAUUUGAAUAUGACAUGUCAUCAUUUUGUAUACAAGCUUAAAGCAGGGCCAUGGUGGAUGUAACAACUGAUAGGAGAUUGCACAUUAACUUAAUUAUUUCCUACUAUCUGAUACACUUUCGUCAAACAACGAAAUGCCUUUCCAGAGCUGAGACUGCCUUAUACAAACUUCUACAAAUACAGCUUAAGUUUUUAAGUGUGUGCUCUACCCUAACCUUAUAGAACAUGCUGAAGGUUUGGCUCACAAACUUCUAGAUAAAUCUUUCAAUGUCGUAGCAGGGAGUAUUAGAUCCAUCAGAAGCUUGCCAAAUUGAGAGGGUAUAUAAAGAGGUGUUACCAGAACUUUCCUUCUUUCAAAACAAUAGUUUUGUCGCCUUUUCCUGUCGUAUCAGUCGUCUACAUAGCAUGCCAAAACCCCUCUGUUUCUUUUUCCUCAUGGAAAAGCUUCAGUCCCCUUCUUAUUUAUCAACUUCAUACAACAUUAACCCAUAGUUAUCAUGGCAGCGCGUAGGCGCUGACUAGGCAUCCAAGCGGUCGGCAGUGGAUGCCAUGCCUCGUCGCCUCGCCUGAACCCAGUUAGGCGAUGGUAAGACAUCUCCUAGAAGCCCACCUAGCUGUUGAACUAGGCUUUAAUGGGUCUGCCUUGUGCACUAUACGCCCAGUUUCCUCUUCUUUCCUCUGCUGCCACCACCGUUAGAGCCGCUAGAUCGCUCACGCCGGCUGCCUGCCGCGUGCCUGUGCCGCGCGCCCGCGUGGCCUACACAGUGCACCGCCCACAAGUCGCCUACACCAGCGUUGCUCGUGCGUCGUGCCGCCUGAGCUCGACCAUGGAUGCUUGCUACUUGCUGGAUUUAUAUUUAUUUGCUAGUUUUUCAUAUAUCAUGUGAUAUAUGACUAUAUGUUGCAUUUUUGCUGCUGGAGAAAAGGGCGUCUUGGCAGCACCUAGGCGGUUGUCUAGAACCUAGGCGUCUAGGUGACCGGCUGGCGAGACCGUGGCGCCAUGAUAACCAUGCAUUAGCCUAGAGCUCUUUUUUCUGAGUUGUAACAACAUAUUUUCGUGUUUUAUAUUUUAAACGUAGAAAAAGACUACAGAUAAAAUUCACCCCAGAUUUUAAUGAUAAUAACAAUAUAUUUCAAAAGAUUUUUUUCUGUUUUUUGUUAAAGCAAGAGGAAAAACAAAGUAAGGUGCCAGAAUUUUAACUUGAUAUACUUUGGAACACCUACUAAAAUCAUCUGUGUUAUGUUAUUUUUUUGAUGUAUUGAUAUCUCUUUAAAUUAGUAUAACUUUUUGUGUUGUACUGAUUUCUCUUUAAAAUAGUAUGACAUAAAUUUGCUCUGUGGUUCAAUGAUUAAACAUACCGAGCUUGUUGGCUAACCUCCAUUGUUCAAGGUUUGCUUUUGUUUUUCCUAGAUUUGGCCAUGCGGCGAUCUGGGGGCUGCAUUGAUAUAAUACUGGAUGUUUUGAGAAUCGGAGUGGAUGGUUUGGGACUUCGGAUAGUAGAGAUGGAUUGUGAUGCAUGUAUGACAAGUGGGCUACAAUCAGUCCUAGGAGCAAGAUAGGCUGACAAUCGCUAUCAAGAUCUCGAUCCCCAAUUUCUUCUCCUUCUCAUGCAAGAUAUGCGACAAGCCCUAGGAGCAGAAGCGCAUCCCGUUCUCGGUCUCCUGUGAGAUCCGAUUGAACUUUGAGAGCCCUUGAAGCAGUGAGCAGCCCCAGGGAGAAGAAAGGAACUUGAGAGUAUGCCGUGCCAUCACAAUGGUCCGAGUGAUUAUGCUGUUGCCACUGCUCCCUCACAUUUAAGAGGUUUCCUCUUAUUUAGACGGAGCAUUUAAUUAACAUUAUCUUGCUAAAGAGAGACUUAUGCGUAGUCUACUUGUGUACUCGUUCGUUUGUCCUCAUGUUCUUGGCUUCAGGAACUCUGGUUUUUUAUCAUUGUACCCAUAGUAAAACCUAGAUGUAGUUGGGGUAUGCCGUAUGCGUCUAUAUUCGGUUGGUCGAAUGUAAAUCUGGAUGCAUAUAUGCAUCUGUUUGGUUUCAUUUAGGCCUUUCCUUGGUUUCGUGAUUAAUGACAACAUAAGCUUAUUGCUGUGAUCAAAGUAUAUUUUGUAGAGGUAAUUAAAGCUAGUCACACAAUAAUGGAGAUUGCUUAGACAACGUAUGGUUUU
This is an RNA transcript of Zea mays, 3190 nucleotides long. It is a transcript of the gene named pre-mRNA-splicing factor SF2, with no coding region annotated. The record is from RefSeq and is marked validated. NCBI's taxonomy places the organism in Eukaryota, Viridiplantae, Streptophyta, Magnoliopsida, Poales, Poaceae. The transcript is spliced from 14 exons.